ACGUAGGGUGCGAGCGUUAAUCGGAAUUACUGGGCGUAAAGAGUGCGUAGGCGGAUAUUCAAGUUAGAUGUGAAAUCCCUGGGCUUAACCUAGGAAUGGCAUUUAAGACUGGAUGUCUAGAGUUUGUGAGAGGGUGGUAGAAUUCCAAGUGUAGCAGUGAAAUGCGUAGAGAUUUGGAGGAAUACCGAUGGCGAAGGCAGCCACCUGGGAUAGAACUGACGCUGAGGCACGAAAGCGUGGGGAGCAAACAGG
Molecule: ribosomal RNA, 252 nt
Filed under: uncultured bacterium
Lineage: Bacteria
Description: partial 16S ribosomal RNA
Rfam family: Bacterial small subunit ribosomal RNA
Source: RNAcentral